Long non-coding RNA from Gopherus flavomarginatus (Mexican gopher tortoise), 989 nucleotides. RefSeq lists it as uncharacterized. NCBI's taxonomy places the organism in Eukaryota, Metazoa, Chordata, Testudines, Testudinidae. The transcript has 2 exons. The record is from RefSeq and is a predicted model, not a curated record.
AAAAAUAAUUUCAGCUUACCUAAAACAUUUUGAUGUUGUGUCUCAGUGCAUCUGCAGAGUGUAGGACUGAUCACCUGGUCCAGGAACAUCCACAAAUGGCGCUGGAGGGAUGGGGAGGGCCUGCCAGUGGAUGCCCAGCACCCAUCUUUUUUUUCGUGUUGGUGCUCCAGCCCGGUGCACCCCACGGAGUUGGUGCCUAUGGUGGCAGUUACUACAUGUGCUCUGUAUUGUUUCUGAAGCUGUAUAGGAUGUUUUUUAUUGUAGGCAAGCCACUUGGGCAGUGUGAUGGACUAUAUCUCUGUAUUCACCCCUGUACCCCUAUAUUUACACUAUUGUAAUAAUCUUUGUACAAGGUAUGCUUGUGAGGUAUCAUUUCAAAACUCCUAAUUUUCUUGUCAUUAUUGUCCUGGUAAAAUGUGUGGCACCAUUUUAUGUAAAGUUAUAAGAUUCCACUUGGUGUUGUUACUAAAAUAUUUCCCACAUCUGAGGAGUGGACAAACCAGUUCCUCAGAGACAAAGGGCAAGCUGACACCUCAGUCUAGUGUAAACAAAGUCAAUAGGCAAUUAUUGUUAAGUGGCUAUUCUUUGGCAGGAAAGGGGACAAGAGUGAAAAAUCUUAGCAAAGAAACAGCAUGGAGUUCCCGUCCAUGCAGUCACCUGUCACCAUGCUCCCAGCCAGAAAUGGUUCUCCAAGGGAAGACAAGACUAUAAAAAGAAGGGGCAAUGUACCCCCUCCUCCUCGCUCUCUAUCCAUUGAUUCAUUGCACCCGAAGGAACAAAGGAAGCAGCCAUUAAAUAGAAGAAGGGGUACUGGCCUAAGAAGUUUGGUCAGUAAGACUGUUCAGAGCAUGUAGUGAGAAAAACUUAGAUUAGACACCGGUUACUUAUCUUUAUUUCUUGUAACCAUUUCUGACUUUUAUGCCUCAUUACUUGUACUCACAAUAUCUAUCUUUUUGUAGUUAAUAAACUUGUUAUAUUGUUUUAUCUAA